GUAGGGAAUAUUGGUCAAUGGGCGGAAGCCUGAACCAGCCAUGCCGCGUGCAGGAAGAAGGCCCUCUGGGUUGUAAACUGCUUUUGAUAGGGAACAAAUGCCACUUGCGAGUGGAGCUGAGUGUACCUAUAGAAUAAGCACCGGCUAACUCCGUGCCAGCAGCCGCGGUAAUACGGAGGGUGCAAGCGUUGUCCGGAAUUAUUGGGUUUAAAGGGUGCGUAGGCGGCUCUUUAAGUCAGUGGUGAAAUCCUUCAGCUUAACUGGAGAACUGCCAUUGAUACUGAAGAGCUUGAGUAUAGUUGAGGUAGGCGGAAUUGACAGUGUAGCGGUGAAAUGCUUAGAUAUUGUCAAGAACACCGAUUGCGAAGGCAGCUUACUAAACUAUAACUGACGCUGAGGCACGAAAGCGUGGGUAUCAAACAGGAUUAGAAACCCGUGUAGUCC
Molecule: ribosomal RNA, 444 nt
Filed under: uncultured bacterium
Lineage: Bacteria
Description: partial 16S ribosomal RNA
Rfam family: Bacterial small subunit ribosomal RNA
Source: RNAcentral